GAUGAACGCUGGCGGCGUGCCUAAUACAUGCGAGUCGAGCGAACAGACGAGGAGCUUGCUCCUCUGACGUUAGCGGCGGACGGGUGAGUAACACGUGGAUAACCUACCUAUAAGACUGGGAUAACUUCGGGAAACCGGAGCUAAUACCGGAUAAUAUAUUGAACCGCAUGGUUCAAUAGUGAAAGACGGUUUUGCUGUCACUUAUAGAUGGAUCCGCGCCGCAUUAGCUAGUUGGUAAGGUAACGGCUUACCAAGGCAACGAUGCGUAGCCGACCUGAGAGGGUGAUCGGCCACACGGGAACUGAGACACGGUCCAGACGACAACGGGAGGCAGCAGUAGGGAAUCUUCCGCAAUGGGCGAAAGCUUGACGGAGCAACGCCGCGUGAGUGAUGAAGGUCUUCGGAUCGUAAAACUCUGUUAUUAGGGAAGAACAAAUGUGUAAGUAACUAUGCACGUCUUGACGGUACCUAAUCAGAAAGCCACGGCUAACUACGUG
RNAcentral lists this ribosomal RNA (497 nucleotides) under uncultured bacterium. RNAcentral describes it as "partial 16S ribosomal RNA". It matches the Rfam family "Bacterial small subunit ribosomal RNA", at positions 28 to 507 of the family's 1533-position model. The record is from RNAcentral.